RNAcentral lists this ribosomal RNA (253 nucleotides) under uncultured bacterium. RNAcentral's name for it is "partial 16S ribosomal RNA". It matches the Rfam family "Bacterial small subunit ribosomal RNA", at positions 524 to 776 of the family's 1533-position model. The record is from RNAcentral.
GACGUAGGAUGCAAGCGUUGUCCGGAUUUAUUGGGCGUAAAGAGUUCGUAGGUGGUUCGUUAAGUCUGAUGUUAAAGACUGGGGCUCAACCCUGGGAGUGCAUUGGAUACUGGCGGACUGGAGUGCAGUAGAGGCAAGCGGAAUUCCAGGUGUAGCGGUGAAAUGCGUAGAUAUCUGGAAGAACACCGGUGGCGCAAGCGGCUUGCUGGGCUGUAACUGACGCUGAGGAACGAAAGCUAGGGGAGCGAAUGGG